AUGCAAUACAUAAAAGCUCUACCCCAGCGUCAGAGAGGAGAUGGUAUUCAUAGGGCAAAGAGGUGGGAGAUGGAGACUGUCACAGAGCAGAUGAGAACGCAGGCGCGCAGCUCCCUCGUCAAUAAACUCAGCCCCACUACAGGCUCUACUGCCGGGGAGCAGGAUGACUUGCCUUACGAUGAAGACGAAGGACUAACCUGUAAAUACAACAGUAAUUCAGAGGAUCUGCAUGACCGCAUAGAAAACAUUUCUCAUAUUUUGAGUUUAUCCUGUUCUGAAGAUAACAACAAAGCAGCAGCAGCAAGGUAUGAAACUCAUCCCCAACCUGAAGGCGUCAGGGAUUAUCACACAGCUACCACCCCAACAGCUGGAAUUUCGGCUGAAAUGCCUGCAAGUGAAGCUUCCUUUAAGAAAGAAGUGUCAGACAGGGGUUUUGGUAAAGCAGAUGGCAAGGAACAUCUAACUAACUCAAAGAUGUCCAACGUCCUCUUGCGUCAUUUUUCUGAAGGAGAGUUACUAAACACUUGCCAGCUAAUUGAGUGUGAGACCAUACCAGAGACGUCCUACACGGAAAGUGUUGGUGAAACUACGAACAAACCUGAGGCUUACAAACAUGGCAAAGGCUCUUUAACACCUGAACAAUGGGCAAUGGAAUUGGAAGGGUAUUAUUUAGAAAAGCAUGAGGAUGCACACAUGGGUGGGAAAAAUCCACGUGUGCUAAAUGGAAAUAAAUUUGUUUUAAAGAGAUCUAUUUCUUCUACUGUUAACUGUGGGUGCAGACAUGACAAUUCACAGCUGAGUAACAAGUAUGAAGACACACACCUCUCUCACAACACAAAGGAACACAGAGAACUGUUUAAGAAAACCGUUUCAUCUCAUAGGCUCAUACAUGGCCAAAGUGAAAUUCACCAUUGCCUUCCUGACUUCUCUAAAGUUACUUCAGAACUAAAAAUGCCAAAAAUAAGUGAAAAUAUUAAAUCAGUUCCUACAGUCGAACGAACAAAAUCCUUCCCUAUUUUGCUCAGUCAAUCAGUAACUGUGGACAACAUUCUAGAAAAUAACUCUUUUCAUUCUGUUGAAGUAGAGAAUCAAGAAGAGAUGAGCAUUCCAGAAUUGUUUCAACAGCUCAAGAAAGGUGGAAGGGGAAAUAUUUAG
Molecule: long non-coding RNA, 1155 nt
Filed under: Anser brachyrhynchus (Pink-footed goose)
Lineage: Eukaryota; Metazoa; Chordata; Aves; Anseriformes; Anatidae
Description: lncRNA (ENSABRG00000011659.1)
Source: RNAcentral